RNAcentral lists this ribosomal RNA (506 nucleotides) under uncultured bacterium. Its description in RNAcentral is "bacterial SSU rRNA". It matches the Rfam family "Bacterial small subunit ribosomal RNA", at positions 355 to 877 of the family's 1533-position model. The record is from RNAcentral.
UGGGGAAUCUUGCACAAUGGGCGCAAGCCUGAUGCAGCAACGCCGCGUGCGGGAAGACGGCCCUAGGGUUGUAAACCGCUUUCAGCAGGGAAGAAACUGACGGUACCUGCAGAAGAAGAUGCGGCCAACUACGUGCCAGCAGCCGCGGUGACACGUAGGCAUCAAGCGUUAUCCGGAUUUAUUGGGCGUAAAGAGCUCGUAGGCGGUUCGGUAAGUCGGGUGUGAAAACUCUGGGCUCAACCCAGAGAGGCCACUCGAUACUGCUGUGACUAGAGUGCGGUAGGGGAGCGGGGAAUUCCUGGUGUAGCGGUGAAAUUCGUAGAUAUCAGGAGGAACACCGGUGGCGAAGGCGGGUCUCUGGGCCGGAACUGACGCUGAGGUGCGAAAGUGUGGGGAGCAAACAGGAUUAGAUACCCUGGUAGUCCACACCGUAAAACGAUGAAUGCUAGUCGUCGGCAGGCAUGCCUGUCGGUGACGCAGCUAACGCAUUAAGCACUCCGCCUGGG